RNAcentral lists this ribosomal RNA (253 nucleotides) under uncultured bacterium. RNAcentral describes it as "partial 16S ribosomal RNA". It matches the Rfam family "Bacterial small subunit ribosomal RNA", at positions 524 to 776 of the family's 1533-position model. The record is from RNAcentral.
UACGUAGGGUGCAAGCGUUGUCCGGAAUUAUUGGGCGUAAAGAGCUCGUAGGCGGUCUGUCGCGUCGGAUGUGAAACCUCGGGGCUCAACCCUGAGCCUGCAUUCGAUACGGGCAGACUAGAGUUCGGUAGGGGAGACUGGAAUUCCUGGUGUAGCGGUGAAAUGCGCAGAUAUCAGGAGGAACACCGGUGGCGAAGGCGGGUCUCUGGGCCGAUACUGACGCUGAGGAGCGAAAGCGUGGGGAGCGAACAGG